GAUGAACGCUGACGGCGUGCCUAAUACAUGCAAGUCGAGCGAACAGACGAGGAGCUUGCUCCUUUGACGUUAGCGGCGGACGGGUGAGUAACACGUGGGUAACCUACCUAUAAGACUGGGAUAACUUCGGGAAACCGGAGCUAAUACCGGAUAAUAUUUCGAACCGCAUGGUUCGAUAGUGAAAGAUGGCUUUGCUAUCACUUAUAGAUGGACCUGCGCCGUAUUAGCUAGUUGGUAAGGUAACGGCUUACCAAGGCAACGAUACGUAGCCGACCUGAGAGGGUGAUCGGCCACACUGGAACUGAGACACGGUCCAGACUCCUACGGGAGGCAGCAGUAGGGAAUCUUCCGCAAUGGGCGAAAGCCUGACGGAGCAACGCCGCGUGAGUGAUGAAGGUCUUCGGAUCGUAAAACUCUGUUAUUAGGGAAGAACAAACGUGUAAGUAACUGUGCACGUCUUGACGGUACCUAAUCAGAAAGCCACGGCUAACUACGUG
Molecule: ribosomal RNA, 497 nt
Filed under: uncultured bacterium
Lineage: Bacteria
Description: partial 16S ribosomal RNA
Rfam family: Bacterial small subunit ribosomal RNA
Source: RNAcentral